Non-coding RNA from Pelobates cultripes (western spadefoot toad), 243 nucleotides. Lineage: Eukaryota; Metazoa; Chordata; Amphibia; Anura; Pelobatidae. The record is from the annotation of a GenBank genome assembly.
UUACAACAAAUUUACAUUCGGAGUUCAUUGCACCAAAAUCAUGACUUAUUUAAGCGUGAACUUCUAUUUCUGCAUGACCCAAUAUUAUUACACACACUUGCUUUUCUUGAUGAAGUGCAAACCUGGAAUGAUCGAAUUGGCGGGGGGACGCAUACCUCUGUAUUUUGUAUCCAAGGAUAUUGUUCGUGUGAUGCUUACCAGUGUGGAUGGAGAGACAAUUGAACCUAUGCAAUUAAAUCUGGC